ACUGAGGGUUCUAGAGGGGAGGGGGGUGGAGGAAUGGGUUAGCCCGGUGAUGGGUAUUAAAGAGGGCAUGUGUUGAAUGAAGCACUGGGUGUUAUAUGCAAACAAUGAAUCAUGGAACACUACAUCAAAAACUAAUGAUGUAAUGUAUGGUGAUUAACAUAACAUAAUAAAAUAAAAUUUAAAAAAAUUUAAACUACAAACAAAAAGAUGAGGUGAAGGGUGUAUAGAUUUAUUAAUUCAUGAGCAUGUUUUCUGUAAAAGUCAUUACUUGAUAAUUUUAGUCAGGCUUUGUUUCGGGUAGUUUUGUUUUCCUACACGUGAUCAUUAGCAUCUUUUCCCCCCACUCUGUCCCUGGAAUAUCUAGCAGUGAACACAUGACUCUGGUUUUCUUUAUUAGUAACCCUGUGGACCAUGGACAUCUCACUUACACUAUUUUUAAUGGGAUUUGAAGCAUGAGUCUUCCUCCACCACCAAUUAACGACAUUGUAUUGGGAUGUUGGAAAAUAUAUCUUAAAUACUGUAAGUUCUUUGAAAACCAUGUGUGGUAGUGUAUGGAAGGAUCAACUUUUUUAGGUAUCUGGUACAUAGUAACUGCAUGAUGAAUAAAGAAAUAAGUUGUGUUGAAUUGUGGAAAAAAAUCUCUUUUUUCAUACCUUGUGUUCUGUAGAUUGAAUCAGUUUGAGUUUGUCUUUGCUAAUGGUUAGAUUCAGGUUCUGCAUAUUUGGCAAUAAUACCACAUAAAUCUCACUUAAGCUCUUACGCAGGAAUUCUGGAAGGUAGACCAGGUGAGGUGAGACUCCAUAAGACGACAUAGAAACUAGACAUUCCCACUACAUUGAAGCAGGUAUUUGGGAAGAGAUCCACUUGAUAUUAAUAGAAGAAAGAUUUCCUAUCGAAGAAGUAGUUGGGGUAGAUGGAGUAAGUGGAUCAUGUUCCAUCAGGGAGACUGUGUGUGACCUGGAUCAGUAAGCAUUUAGAGAUGUCUUCUGAACUAGAUCUGUGCCAUAUAUGUGGUCUGGUAGCCUCUUGUGGGAGACCCACCUAAUGGCCUGGAAUUCAAGGAUAGCACUUCAGUCCCUGGGAUAGACUGAUAAUUGUAGGACAGGUCUAUAGCUCUAGAGGUGCUGAUUUAUUGGCUGGGUUACUAAGGUAUUAGUAAUGGUCUCUGAAUUAAGGCAAGGACUCAGUUCUUAAGAUGGCACAGUGUCAGAACUGAAACAGCUAAGCAAGUUUGAUGUGGAACAUCGUCCAUUUCUUUCAUUUGAGAGCACCUUGGAUCCUUGUUUAGGAAUGGAAAUACACUUACAGGUGGCCUCACCUAUGUGGCAGAAAUGUGUAGGGAAGGGAGCCUGUCAGGUCACAAGUAAUUAAAGGUUUAUAUAUAUAUUAUUACCCUUUAAAAUAACUGUCAGAAUUCUUAAUUUUUAAAUUCCCCCUACACCUUUGCCCCCCCUUGCCAAAUUCCAAACAAACAUAUGAUUUGAGUGGGAUAAGUGUAGUUAUAUGUCUGAGACACGGAUUAUUCUCAGGACUGCAAAAUUGUAUCCUUUGUGUAUAACCUAAAGAUCAUAUGUAUCCUGUUGCAUUAUUAUAUUCUCUCUUCUUACUCCUUUUAUUAGGGUCAGUCUUUCUGAACAUCUUUACUCUUUAUUACUGUCUAGAUUUGGGACAUGGAAAAUCACUCUUGGGAUAAUAGGGAUAAAAUAGAUAGACCUUAGAUAAGAUCAAAUGGAUUUUUAUGUUUUUACCUUUUCCCCCCUUUAUGACCCAUGCUAAAGGUUCCCAGGUGUGAGAUUUCUGGUUUAUUUCCCCUUUAUUCAUGGAGUUUAGUUCAUACUAUCUAUAUACUAUGUAUGUAUAAUAAUGUAUGUGUGUGUGACACACACAAACUUUUCUACGCAUAUGCAGGCUUACUUGUCAUAGUGUUACUUGUAAUUGUAAAAGAUCCAGAAUAAAAUAAAUGUCAAUCAGCGGGUUAAUGUCUAAAAAAAAUUAAUGUACAUCUGUGCAAUGCAACACUGCAGCUUUCAGAAAAGAAUGAAGGUAUUCUCUAGAACAUACUAUAGAUUGACUAAAAUAUGUGAAAAUAGAAUGGUGCAGAAUUGUGCGUAAGUAACAUAAAAUAUAAUAGAUAUGUGGAAAUACACAUAUGCAUUUAGGUUUUUUCCAAUUUUUUUUUAUUCUGGUGAAAUACACCUAAGAUUUGCCAACUUAACCAUUUUUAUGUGUAUAGUUCAGUUGUAUUAAAUACAUUCAUAAUAUUGUGCAGUCAUCACCAUCUCCCGAACUUUAUUCAUCUUUUAAAAGUGUAAUUCUAAUAAAAUAAAUAAGACAUGGGUAUGCAAUGUUGGGCAUAGAAAAUAUAGUUAGUAAUACUGUAAGAACUUUGUACAGUGACAGAUGAUAGCUGGAUUUAUUGUGGUAAUCACUUUGUGAAAUACAUAAAUAUUGACUCAUGUUGUACACCUGAAACUAUUAUAAAUUACUGUACUUCAGUAAAAACAAAAACUCUCUAUUUCUGUUUUCCCUAGCCUCUGGCAAACACUUUCUGUCUCUGUUUUUGACUAUGUACCUUAUUUAAGUGGAGUCAUAUAGUAUUUAUCUUUUGUGACUGGCUUCUUUCACUUAGCAUAAUGUCUUCAAGGUUCAUCCAUAUUGUAAAUUAUGUCAGAAUUUCCUUCCUUUUUAAGGCUCAGUAAUAUUCCACUGUGUGUAUAUACCACAUUUGCUUAUCCAUUCAUUCAUCAAUGGAUACUUGGGUUGCUUCCAAGUUUGAGCUAUUACGAAUAAUGUUGGUGUUUUGAUGGGUGUACAAAUAACUUUUUGAGACCCUGCUUUCAGUUCUUUUGGGUAUAUAUGUAUGUAUAAUUGGUUGAUCAUAUGGUAAUUCUUUUUUUAAUUUUUUGAGGAACUGACAUACUGUUUCCCAUAAGGCCUAUACCAUUUUACAUUCCCAUCAACAGUGCAUAAGAGUUCUAAUUUCUCCACAUCCUCUCCAAGAAUUGUUUUCUCUUUUUAGAUAGUAGCCAUCUUAAUAGGUGUGGGGUUCCAUCUCAUUGUAGUUUUGAUGUGCAUUUCCCUAAUGAUGAGUAACAUUGAGCAUCUCUUCUUGUGCUUAAUGGCCAUUUGCAUAUCUUCUUUGGAGAAAUGUGUAUUCAAAUUAUUUGCCAAUUUUCAAAUCAGGUUCUUUGUUUUGUUGAGUUUUAGUAGUUCUUUAUAUAUUUUGGAUAUUAAUCCCUUAUCAGAUAUAUGAUUUGUAAAUAUUUUCUCCCAUUCUUCCAACCUUUGCUCUUUACCCACUGAGUGGUUUGGGCACCCUUGCCAAAAUCAUUAAACCAUAUAUGUGAGGGUUUGUUUCUGGGCUCUUUAUUAUAUUCCACUGGUCUGUAUGUUUGCUUUCAUGCCAGCACCAUGCUGUUUUCAUAGUGUAGCUUUGUAAUAAGUUUUGAAGUCAAGAAGUGUGAGUCUUCCAGUGUUUUUUUUUUUUUUUUUUCCGAGAUUGUUCUGGUCAUUUGAGAUGCUUUUGAGAUUCCCUUUGAAUUAUAGAAUGGGUUUUUCUAUUUCUGCAAAACAGAUCAUUGGGAUUUUGAUAGAGAUUGCAUUUAAUCUGUAGGUUGCUUUGGGGAGUAUUGACAUCUUAACAGUAUUGACUCUUCCAAUCCAUGAACGUCCAUUUAUUUAUUUAUUCUUUAAUUUCAUACACAUUUCUUUGUUUAUAUGACAUAUAAGGAAUGAGUAAUAGUGUUUGUCUCUUAGGAAAGUAGAUUGUGGAUUGAGGGCAGGGGUGUGCAAGUUUUCAUUGUAUAACUUUAAUCACCUUUUGACUUUUAGGCCAUGUGAGUAUGUAUUACUUAUUUAAUAAAGAAAAGUAACAUUUUGGCACCUUUCUUCAGAUACACACAUACGCAUGCAUACACACACACACACACACUUGUGUGCAUGCACAAUACCUAGAAAAUACCUGUUCCUCCAAAGAGUGAGCACAGAAACAAGACUUACUAGGAGGAGCCAAAAUCAAGAGUCCAGCUAUAAAGAAUGAAUGCAUGAAAUGAUGAUGUUUUUAAGCGACUUUAAAUUUAUCAGUCUGUAAAGAGAGAUCUGGUGUGGUAGAUGACUGAACAGGUAGUAAAUGAUCGCCUUACUUUCCAUGCUUAGGAAUUUGGAUUUUAUUUUAUUUUAUUUUAUUUUUUUAAAGAUUUUAUUUAUUUAUCUGAAAGAGAGAAUGGGAUACAGAGAGCAUGAGAGGGGAAGGGUCAGAGGGAGAAGCAGACCCCCCACUGAGCAGGGAGCCCGAUGUGGGACUCGAUCCCGGGACUCCAGGAUCAUGACCUGAGCCGAAGGCAGUUGCUUAACCAACUGAGCCACCCAGGUACCCCAGGAAUUUGGAUUUUAAAUUGAUGGUUACUGAGGGUCACUAAAGAUCAGAGAUUAAACAAGGAAGUAAUGGGAUUAUGUUUAUAUUAUAAGAAUUACUGUGGUUAUAGUAUUGGAAUAGUGUGGGAUCGUUUAGUAGAAAUAGGAUGUGAGCCACAUCGGCAGCUUAAUAUUUUCUACUAAAUUACAAAAAAUGGGUAAUGAAAUUAAUUUUUAUAUAUCUAAUGUUAUUUCAUCAUGUAAUCACUAUAGCAUUAUAAGUGAGAUAUUUAAUGUGCUAUUUUUCAUUGUAAAUCUUCACAUCUUCACAAUCUUGUGGAUAUUUUAUGCUUACUGAACAUUUCGUGUUUGACUAGCCAUAUUUUAUAUGCUCAGUUAGCUACAUGAGAGUAGUGCUGCCAUGUUAGAUAGUGCAAGUAUAGAGAAUCAGUCAGUGUAUAGUCAGGAGACAAUAUGUAUUCUAGUAAUUGGAACAGAAAAAUUUUUUUUUUUUUAAAGAUUUUAUUUAUUUAUUUGAGAGAGAGAGAAUGAGAGACAGAGAGCAUGAGAGGGAAGAGGGCAGAGGGAGAAGCAGACUCCCCGCUGAGCAGGGAGCCCAAUGCGGGACUCGAUCCCGGGACUCCAGGAUCAUGACCUGAGCCGAAGGCAGUCGCUUAACCAACUGAGCCACCCAGGUGCCCCGGAACAGAAAAAUUUAAUGUGAAGAAUUAUUAAUUAUUUAAAAGUCCUUAAUCAUUUGUCAUCCAGGAAUCACAAAUUAAGACAACAAUAAGAUAACAACUCUAUACCUAUUAGAAUGGCUGAAAUCCAAAAACGUGAGAAGGUUACAAAGCUGUCAAGCUUACAAAGCAUCAGGGCUCUUAUUCAUCACUGGUGGGAAUGCAAAAUGUUAUAUCUACUUUGGAAGACAGUUCGGCAGUUUUUUUUACAAAGCUAAACAUAGUUUUAUCAUAUGAUUCAAUAAUCAUCCUCCUAGAUGUUUACAUAACUCAUUUGGAAAUUAUGUCUGCACAAAAUGCUGCAUGUGAAUGUGUAUAGCAGCUUUAUUCCUAACUGCCAAGAAAUGGUGACCAAGAUGUCCAUCAUUAGAGUCUAGAAGCAAGGACACUCCAUAUCAAGGAGCAAAACCUAGUGCCCAGAUCUUCAUCUCUAAUAUCAUUCUCCAAUAAAAGGAACCAGAGCUCCUUGGAGUAU
This is a long non-coding RNA of Mirounga angustirostris (Northern elephant seal), 5568 nucleotides long. RefSeq lists it as uncharacterized. The record is from RefSeq and is a predicted model, not a curated record. The transcript has 2 exons. Lineage: Eukaryota; Metazoa; Chordata; Mammalia; Carnivora; Phocidae.